RNAcentral lists this long non-coding RNA (1037 nucleotides) under Homo sapiens (human). RNAcentral describes it as "HSALNT0347451". The record is from RNAcentral. Lineage: Eukaryota; Metazoa; Chordata; Mammalia; Primates; Hominidae.
GAGGCCCUCUUGGACAACACUUCCUCUCCUGCCCAUGGUGGGAGGUUGGGAAGGACAUUCCCCCAUUUCCAUUUGCUCUGCCAUUCAAAACCUUGUGAGGGCCCUCAGGGAAGAAUCCCUUUGCAGAUGAGGAAACUGAGGCCCCACGUGGUGAAGACAAUUUUUACCCGAAUCCACCCACAACAAGAGACCAUUUGGAUAAUGUACAUUAUGGGAAGAGAACAGAGUCUCAGUGAAGAUCAUGUUUCCCCAGCAACACAGGUGCCAGGAGUAGCUGGCUCUGGUCCCAGCCCAGACUCAGAAAUCCUGAGCCACCAGACCAUUUCUAGAUUAACAAAGGCCUGCAUUAAUUUGAUUUCAGUGACCCACUGGAAACCAGUGUCAGCAUAACAACAGUUACGAGAGCUAAACCUACAAAAUAGAAACACAAGUAAAACUUGUUCAAGUGGUUUGCAGUCAUUGAACAUAGAUCAGCUCCUAUGAAAACAAACUCCAUGGGUUUUCUUUGAUGGCAGUUCUGCUCUAAAGAUGGAUAAGGAAGGAGGUUCCAAGAUGGCCGAAUAGGAACAGCUCCAGUCUACAGCUCCCAGCAUGAGCAACGCAGAAGACAGGGGAUUUCUGCAUUUCCAAUUGAGAACACAGGAGCUAUGUGGAGAGUUGAUGGAGGGACAUUCCAGGCAGAGAGAACAGCAAACACAAAGGCCUUGAAGGGCUCAACACCACAUGGAAGCUGCCAAGGCUUGGGGCUCGCACCAUCUGAAGACAUGGUCUGAACUCUACGUUGGCCCUUUCAGCCAUGGCUGGAGCAGCUGGAACGCAGGGCAUCAAGUCUCUUGGCUGCACACAGCUCAGGGAAGCUGGACCUGGCCCAUGAAACCACUUUUUCUUCCUAUGCCUCCAGACCUGUGAUGGGAGGAGCUGCCAUGAAGACCUCUGACAUGCCCUAGAAACAUUUUCCCCAUUGUCUUAGGGAUUAACAUUCUGUGCCUUGUUGCUUAAGUAAAUUUCUGCCUCAUUGUCAGGCUGCAAAUUUUCUA